GGCGAAGCAAUCUUGUGAAGUGAGGAAAAGUAUAGCAAAGUUAAGUUUUCUUCAAUUUUCGCUCUUUGCUAUACUCCUAUAAUUUUAAGCCCAUACCAAUAUAAUAAUAAUAAGACCCCUCAUAUUCAAGACUGGGGCAUUUUUUUUUUCUAACAAAAAAAAAAUAAAAAAAUAAAAAAAAAAAAUAAAAAAAAAAUAAUAAAAAUAAAAAAAUAAAUAAAAAAAAAUCCUAAUCUUAUUUCGUUUUCAUAGGGCUCCAUCCCCCAGCUGAUAUCUUACUCGUCUUCAUAGGGCACUAUCCCCUAGUCGACAUCCUAAUCGUCUUCAUAGGGCACCACCCCCUAGUUGAUAUCUUACUCG
RNAcentral lists this long non-coding RNA (360 nucleotides) under Capsicum annuum. RNAcentral describes it as "long non-coding RNA (CANN_LNC021182)". Lineage: Eukaryota; Viridiplantae; Streptophyta; Magnoliopsida; Solanales; Solanaceae. The record is from RNAcentral.